AGGAUGAACGCUAGCGGCAGGCCUAAUACAUGCAAGUCGAACGGGUGUAGCAAUACACUAGUGGCGCACGGGUGCGUAACGCGUAACCAAUCUGCCCUGAACUGGGGGAUAGCCCGCCGAAAGGCGGAUUAAUACCGCAUAACACUUCUCUCUGGCAUCAGAGGUUAGUUAAAGAUUUAUUGGUUCAGGAUGAGGUUGCGUGCCAUUAGCUAGUUGGCGGGGUAAUAGCCCACCAAGGCGACGAUGGCUAGGGGACCUGAGAGGGUGAUCCCCCACACUGGCACUGAGAUACGGGCCAGACUCCUACGGGAGGCAGCAGUAGGGAAUAUUGGGCAAUGGACGAGAGUCUGACCCAGCCAUGCCGCGUGCCGGAUGAAGGCCUUCUGGGUUGUAAACGGCUUUUCUCAGGGAAGAAAAGCCAUGCGUGGUACACUGACGGUACCUGAGGAAUAGCACCGGCUAACUCCGUGCCAGCAGCCGCGGU
Molecule: ribosomal RNA, 484 nt
Filed under: uncultured bacterium
Lineage: Bacteria
Description: SSU rRNA
Rfam family: Bacterial small subunit ribosomal RNA
Source: RNAcentral